CAAGGUCUGGCAGGGGAGCUAUGAUCAGGAACGUGGUUUACCCAGGGGGAGGCUCAGCCAUUGCACUCCAAAUGGGGGAAUCUCGACUGUAUCAUUUCUGCCAGCGGGGGACUGCAUUUACACUCUCCCCUA
This 132-nucleotide small nuclear RNA is filed under the name Paramormyrops kingsleyae. RNAcentral's name for it is "U1 spliceosomal RNA (ENSPKIG00000022470.1)". It matches the Rfam family "U1 spliceosomal RNA". Rfam says of the family: U1 is a small nuclear RNA (snRNA) component of the spliceosome (involved in pre-mRNA splicing). Its 5' end forms complementary base pairs with the 5' splice junction, thus defining the 5' donor site of an intron. The record is from RNAcentral. Lineage: Eukaryota; Metazoa; Chordata; Actinopteri; Osteoglossiformes; Mormyridae.